Long non-coding RNA from Sorghum bicolor (sorghum), 580 nucleotides. RefSeq lists it as uncharacterized. The record is from RefSeq and is a predicted model, not a curated record. NCBI's taxonomy places the organism in Eukaryota, Viridiplantae, Streptophyta, Magnoliopsida, Poales, Poaceae. The transcript is spliced from 2 exons.
CGCCCCCUGUUCCACAGGUGCGUGAUGAACCUCGGCUCUGGCUGGAAGCCUGGAAGUAAACUGGGCAGAGCAGCUUGUGCAUGAGGACUGGCCGACUGAGAUUUGAAGCAGCACCGGAGAGUGGAGUUCCCUGAAGCAAGCUGCUGUGAAACACGGCCUAUCGGAAAUUUUCAGGGUUACAAAUGUACCAGGUCCAGAGCCAAUUGCAGAGGAACCUGUUAGCAGAGCAGCUGAGGAGCGAGCGCCUGGCGUGUCGGCUCGGACUACCUCGGCUUCCUGCAGCCAGACAUGAGUGGAAGCACGGCAGGGAUGCAGAAACCACGGCAACGGCAUGCGCGUAGACGACACGGGCACGGCCUUCCCACUCCAACUCCAACUCCAUGCGGUUGGUCAGCGCGCUCAUUGCAUGUGCAUGAACUGGAUGUGGAUGGACGGCCAUCCCCGGUCGUCCAUCUCAGCAUACGUUGUCUUAGGGUCUGUGUACAGGGAGCUGUUUUUUUAUUAAACACUUAUUUCUAAAACAGUUUCAUAGGUGAAGCUGUUUUUCUUCUCUUGAAGCUGAAAAAAGUAGCUUAUUGCA